GUGUUCGCUUUGGCAGCAUAUGUGCAAAAAUUAGAACGAUAUGGAGUAGAUUAGCAUGGCCCGCGUGCAAGGAUGACAUGCAAAUUCGUGAAGCCUUUCAUAUUUUU
This is a small nuclear RNA of Suricata suricatta (meerkat), 107 nucleotides long. NCBI's taxonomy places the organism in Eukaryota, Metazoa, Chordata, Mammalia, Carnivora, Herpestidae. The record is from Ensembl.